This 253-nucleotide ribosomal RNA is filed under the name uncultured bacterium. RNAcentral describes it as "partial 16S ribosomal RNA". It matches the Rfam family "Bacterial small subunit ribosomal RNA", at positions 524 to 776 of the family's 1533-position model. The record is from RNAcentral.
UACGAAGGGAGCUAGCGUUGUUCGGAAUUACUGGGCGUAAAGCGCACGUAGGCGGACUAUUAAGUCAGGGGUGAAAUCCCGGGGCUCAACCCCGGAACUGCCUUUGAUACUGGUAGUCUCGAGUCCGGAAGAGGUGAGUGGAAUUCCGAGUGUAGAGGUGAAAUUCGUAGAUAUUCGGAGGAACACCAGUGGCGAAGGCGGCUCACUGGUCCGGUACUGACGCUGAGGCGCGAAAGCUAGGGGAGCAAACGGG